RNAcentral lists this ribosomal RNA (627 nucleotides) under Pseudomonas rhodesiae. RNAcentral describes it as "bacterial SSU rRNA". It matches the Rfam family "Bacterial small subunit ribosomal RNA", at positions 47 to 669 of the family's 1533-position model. The record is from RNAcentral. Lineage: Bacteria; Pseudomonadati; Pseudomonadota; Gammaproteobacteria; Pseudomonadales; Pseudomonadaceae.
CCCUACACAUGCAAGUCGAGCGGUAGAGAGAAGCUUGCUUCUCUUGAGAGCGGCGGACGGGUGAGUAAUGCCUAGGAAUCUGCCUGGUAGUGGGGGAUAACGUUCGGAAACGAACGCUAAUACCGCAUACGUCCUACGGGAGAAAGCAGGGGACCUUCGGGCCUUGCGCUAUCAGAUGAGCCUAGGUCGGAUUAGCUAGUUGGUGGGGUAAUGGCUCACCAAGGCGACGAUCCGUAACUGGUCUGAGAGGAUGAUCAGUCACACUGGAACUGAGACACGGUCCAGACUCCUACGGGAGGCAGCAGUGGGGAAUAUUGGACAAUGGGCGAAAGCCUGAUCCAGCCAUGCCGCGUGUGUGAAGAAGGUCUUCGGAUUGUAAAGCACUUUAAGUUGGGAGGAAGGGCCAUUACCUAAUACGUGAUGGUUUUGACGUUACCGACAGAAUAAGCACCGGCUAACUCUGUGCCAGCAGCCGCGGUAAUACAGAGGGUGCAAGCGUUAAUCGGAAUUACUGGGCGUAAAGCGCGCGUAGGUGGUUUGUUAAGUUGGAUGUGAAAUCCCCGGGCUCAACCUGGGAACUGCAUUCAAAACUGACUGACUAGAGUAUGGUAGAGGGUGGUGGAAUUU